RNAcentral lists this ribosomal RNA (253 nucleotides) under uncultured bacterium. RNAcentral describes it as "partial 16S ribosomal RNA". It matches the Rfam family "Bacterial small subunit ribosomal RNA", at positions 524 to 776 of the family's 1533-position model. The record is from RNAcentral.
UACGUAGGGGGCAAGCGUUGUCCGGAAUCAUUGGGCGUAAAGCGCGUGUAGGCGGCCCGGUAAGUCCGCUGUGAAAGUCGGGGGCUCAACCCUCGAAUGCCGGUGGAUACUGUCGGGCUAGAGUGCGGAAGAGGCGAGUGGAAUUCCUGGUGUAGCGGUGAAAUGCGCAGAUAUCAGGAGGAACACCAAUCGCGAAGGCAGCUCGCUGGGACGUGACUGACGCUGAGACGCGAAAGCGUGGGGAGCAAACAGG